RNAcentral lists this transfer RNA (72 nucleotides) under Camelus ferus (Wild Bactrian camel). It matches the Rfam family "tRNA". Rfam says of the family: Transfer RNA (tRNA) molecules are approximately 80 nucleotides in length. Their secondary structure includes four short double-helical elements and three loops (D, anti-codon, and T loops). The record is from Rfam by way of RNAcentral. Lineage: Eukaryota; Metazoa; Chordata; Mammalia; Artiodactyla; Camelidae.
GAGGGUAUAGCUCAGUAGUAGAGUGAGUGCUUAGCUUGUGCAUGGUCCUGGGUUCAAUUCCCAAUACCUCUG